Molecule: long non-coding RNA, 3600 nt
Filed under: Malus domestica (apple)
Lineage: Eukaryota; Viridiplantae; Streptophyta; Magnoliopsida; Rosales; Rosaceae
Description: long non-coding RNA (MDOM_LNC004641)
Source: RNAcentral
UUGGAGUAGGUCUUAGGAGUGGACCAUUGGCUCAUCUCUCUGAAUAUCUAACAUGACAUCAUAGUAGGUUUGAUUAUGGCUCCUGUGGGCCUGUACCAUGCUCGAGUUACCGGGUUUAAAUAACAACAUGCUUUUAUGCUCCAUAUCCUAUGUGAGAUUGAUUACACAUGUAGUCCACUAUGUGGUGAUCCUGUGUGAGGGGACGUGUUAAAUAUAAGCCCCACAUGGAACAAUUGAGAAAAUAAGUAAAAUAUUUAAGAAUAUAAUUCAACUUCUAAUAACACUGAGGUUAUUUGUGAUAUAACCCAACACUUAGCAAUGGAUUGUUAUGUUAAGAUAGUAUCAGUGUAGUUAGAAGUUAAUGACCGUGUCUCUGAAUAUCUGACAUUUGGGGUAUUCAUUCAUAAAAGUAGUGUUGAAACUAUGUAUGUGUUUGCCAAUAGCAAAAUAUUAAACCUUUUUUUUUAACUUUUUUCUUUAUGAAAUUGGCCCAUCUCUCUGAAUAUCAGACAUGAUAUCAAAGUGGGUUUGAUUGUGGCUCUUGUGGGCAUGUGUCAUGCCCAAGUUACCAGGUUUAAUAUAACACCUAUAUGGGAUUAGUUGUACGUGUAGUCCACUAUGUGGUGAUCCUAUGUGACAGGACGUGUUGAAUAUAAGCCUCACAUUGGGGGAUGAGAAAAUAAAGUAAAACAUUGGGGGAUGAGAAAAUAAAAUAAAGUAAUAACACUGAGGUUUUUUGUAAUAUAAUCCAACAUUUAGCAAUAAAUUGUUAAGUUAAGAUAAUAUCAAUGUAGUUAAGAGUGAAUCAAUGACUUGUGUCUCUGAAUAUCUGACAUUUGGGGUAUUGAUUUAUAAAAGUAGUGUUGAAACUAUUUAUGUGUUUGCCAAUAAUAAAAUAUUAGACCCUUUUUUUAACUUUUUUUUCUUUAGGAAAACAAAAGAAAAUGACUAUUUGCAUGGUAGAAAUAGAACCUCUCUAAUGACAUCAAAUCACCUUUUUUCAUUGAGUUGAAAUUUGAAUCAAUACCAUGUACACAAAUUGGUGUCUUGUAGCUUUUGGGGAAAACUAAAGGGCCACGUUGAGAACCCUGUGCACACAUACAAAAUGUAUAGUUGAUGAUAGACGUUUAUAAUGGACCACAUCAGCAUCCCCAUCAAACUUGACACGCGGUGCAAGCAUGGACCACCCACGUGGAAAGAUGAUUGCAUUAUUUGAUAAAUAGGAGACUAUAGGACCACAAAGAUAAAAACCCUAGGCGUAAUCACAAUUCACAAGCUCCACCAAGUUUUCAAUUUCCAAAAAGUUAAUUUCAGAGGUUGAAAUCAAGCUGCUUAAUAAAAUAAUUAGUUUAUGGAUUAUGGACAACUCAUCCACUAUCGAGACCUGUAAUAUUGUAAGACCUCACAGAUGUAUCACCUUAGAAAUUGGUAAACUAAUCUUGCUAAAAGGUUGGCUUUCAAGCACUUGAUGAUUUUGUAUCAUAUUUAAUUCUGAUAAAGAAGAUUUGAUUACUUUACUGGAUUAAAUUAGUAGGGGAAUUGUUGCUCCCAUAACAUGAACAAGAUCUUUUGAGCACUAGGUUAAUUAAUAUAGAAUCAAAGCAAUUGCAUGAAAGCAGUAUGCUGGAAUCCUUUUUUUAUGCUUAUGGAAAAAGGCAGAUUCGAAUUCACACAUUUAGUUCUAGCUCCAUACCGUAUAAAAUGUUAUAUCAUCAAACUAUUAGUUGAGCUAAAAUUUCUAAAUAAAAAUUUAUCUAAUCAGUAAUUCAACAUCGACAAUAUAAAAUAGUUUGCUCUUAAGGGUUUAGCAAACCUAUAUUUUAUGCUGGAAUCAUUCUUAUUAUCAAGAAAAUUUGGUAGAGAGGAGACAGGUUGGGAGUUUCAGGAUGUAAUCGUUGUUUUUCUUUUUAGGAUAGGGUAGGUGUAUAGCACACGCCGAUCAGCGAAUAACUAAUCUCAUCUAAUUCUUCAUUAUUUUUAUAAAAGGUGAUAUUAUAUAUGUAAGAAUACUAUAUAGCUCGGGUAAUGCUCUUUGUUAGACUUGAAAAUUACAUAUUAUAGAAGAAAAAAAGACUCAGUUGAUUAAGAGGCCAUAUCAAGUGUUGAAAGUUUGCCUAAGAUUUUGAUUGGGUACGUUCGUUUUCUGUUAGAAAUUUAGUUAGUGUUUGACUGUGAACUUUCCUUUGUGACGGUUAAGGAUAUGUGAUGUCUAAUAGUCCAUGUCACUAGGAGGGGCUUUUUAGUAGGAAUUAUUACUUUGUAGGAUACAAAAUUGGGAAAAAAAAAUUGCACUCCAUAAAAAUAUUUUUUUCUUGGUUUAGGUUCUGAUGUGACAAUGAGGUCAAUUAGUAGGCUAAUAUAUAUAACAAUAUGCUUCUUUACGUGAGCCUCCACUUACAGAGAACAACAAUAUGAGGAAGGGGUUAGUUAGUAGGUUACUCUCUUUUGGAGAAAGAAAACAUAUGUAUAAAGUAUAUGAUUCCUUCCUGCUGCUUCUUUCUUCAAAUUUUGUUACUAAUUAAAGUAUAGUUUACAAGAUUUGAUAUAGGUUGACUAACUAAAUAUUCAUUAUUCACAAUCAUGUAGAAAGACGGGAAAAAGGGGUCCAGCUCAGCUAGCAUUUUGUAGGAAACACAAGCAAGCAUGCACUACUUUUUUUUCCACUUUAUAUUUUGACAAUAUAUAUAUAUCGUUUAAACUUUAAAAUUAGGCAAUGUUUAGAGUUCGACUUUUACUAAAGCCUCUUUUGUUGGUCUCCCAUAUGCAAUAGUAAAGUGAUAAACUCACUAUUUAAUUACUAGCUAGGUAAGAUCUACAAUAUCUAACUGGAAAGCUUUUGCCAAGUUCAAUAUAUACUGUAACCAAAUAACUUGACAACCUUAAUAAGGCUUACACUGACUCUUGAAUAGUAUCCUUCACAAAACUCGGCAUGGAAUGAAGUUUAGAACCUAAACCCAGACUGAUUUUAUAACCAUGACCAACCAAAUAAGAUAAGUUUUGUUCGUGGAUUUCUAUUACAUCCUAGUCCAAAUCAAUCCUAAUGACAUUCUAAUAAUAAAUUCCAAAUUCCAAUCGGUAUAAAAUCCAAAUCAACCGGCAAACAACUUAAUAGUUAGCAAUUCAAUACGACGUUAAUUACUUGUUUAAGUCUAGUAUAUUAGUUUAAUCUCUCAAUUUGAACCAUUCUUACUUUGAAUCUUCAUUCAAAUUUACCCAUACUGAAAAUCUAUUAACAGUUCGUAUAUUGUUUGGUCAUGGUUACGUAACUCAGAAAGGGUCGUUUAAUAACCAUUUCAUUUUUAGUUUUCAAAUUAUUUUAAAACUAAAAACUAUUUCUUGAGUUUUAAAAUUUUGGGCUUGAGUUUUACUUUUUUUUUGUUUUAAAAUGAAAACUGAAAGUAGUUACCAAAUAAGAUUUCAAUUUCAGUUUAAAAACAAAAUGAAAACUAAAAGCCAAAAACUAAAAACUAAAACUAAAAAUGAAAUGGUUAUCAAAUAUCUCCUAACAUUUUUUUUUUAUCAGAGUGAAUUUUUGUAGUAAUGACCUUUCUUUGAAAACCUAAUAACUUAUCGAUUUAAAUUAUAAAAAAUAUUGUGGAG